CGAGAAGAAGGAGGCCGAGGAGAAGAAGAAGAAGGAGGAGGAAGAGAAGAAGAAGAAGGAAAAAGAGGAAGAGGAGAAGAAGAAAAGGUGCUGCCCCAAGCCGCCGUGCAAGCCGUGCCCUCCGCCUCCUUGCAGUCCGUGCCCUCCGCCUCCUUGCACGCCGUGCCCUCCUCCGCCGUGCCCUCUGCCACCGUGCCCACCGCCGUACCUCAAGCCGUGCUACAUCCCCAUCGAAGACGAGUAUCCCGGGCCCUGCACCAUCGUCUGAGACUGAGAGAGCAAC
RNAcentral lists this long non-coding RNA (283 nucleotides) under Zea mays. RNAcentral describes it as "long non-coding RNA (ZMAY_LNC002045)". The record is from RNAcentral. Lineage: Eukaryota; Viridiplantae; Streptophyta; Magnoliopsida; Poales; Poaceae.